UACGUAGGUGGCAAGCGUUACUCGGAAUUACUAGGCGUAAAGCGCGUGUAGAUGGUCAUGUAAGUCGGUCGUGAAAGCUCCUGGCUCAACUGGGAGAGGUCGAUCGAAACUGCUUGGCUUGAGUGUAUGAGAGGAAUCUGGAAUUCCCGGUGUAGCGGUGAAAUGCGUAGAUAUCGGGAGGAAUACCUAUGGCGAAGGCAGGAUUCUGGCAUAUUACUGACAUUGAGACGCGAAAGCUAGGGGAGCAAACAGG
Molecule: ribosomal RNA, 253 nt
Filed under: uncultured bacterium
Lineage: Bacteria
Description: partial 16S ribosomal RNA
Rfam family: Bacterial small subunit ribosomal RNA
Source: RNAcentral